Molecule: ribosomal RNA, 408 nt
Filed under: Triticum aestivum (bread wheat)
Lineage: Eukaryota; Viridiplantae; Streptophyta; Magnoliopsida; Poales; Poaceae
Description: partial small subunit ribosomal RNA
Source: RNAcentral
AUGAGGGUGCCAAGGCACUCGUAUUGUCAACACUUCGUGAGAUGUCUGGCAGUGCGUGCAUUGCGCUGUUUGAGCUUUGCAUACAAGGAAGAUCUGGCAGAAUUUGCAACAUAUGAUCGUGAAGAGCACCCCGAUCACAAAUAUCUACUUGAUCCUGCAUACUACUCUUCCAUAGAGAGUUAUCUGAUAUUCUGUGGUUUUGUUGGUCUAAGGGAUCCUCCACGAGAAGAAGUCCACAAAGCAAUUGAAGAUUGCAGGGCUGCUGGUAUACGUGUUAUGGUGAUAACAAAGAAACAGCAGAGGCGAUAUGCUGCGAGGUUGGGGUUUUUGGUCCCAGUGAAAACAUUAGCUCAAAGAGCUUUGCAGGGAAGGAAUUUAUGGCUCUUCCUGAUAAGAAGAAGCUGUUGA